This 938-nucleotide ribosomal RNA is filed under the name Crepidostomum illinoiense. RNAcentral's name for it is "eukaryotic LSU rRNA". It matches the Rfam family "Eukaryotic large subunit ribosomal RNA", at positions 1 to 630 of the family's 3401-position model. Lineage: Eukaryota; Metazoa; Platyhelminthes; Trematoda; Plagiorchiida; Allocreadiidae. The record is from RNAcentral.
UGACCUCGGAUCAGACGUGAAUACCCGCUGAACUUAAGCAUAUCACUAAGCGGAGGAAAAGAAACUAACAAGGAUUCCCUUAGUAACGGCGAGUGAACAGGGAUGAGCCCAGCACCGAAGCCUGUGGCCAUUUGGUUACUAGGCAAUGUGGUGUUUAGGUCGUUCCGCAGAGACACUGCUCCUCUCUAAGUCCAUCAAUGAGUACGGUUGUACUGACAUGGCCCAUGGAGGGUGAAAGGCCCGUAAGAGAGGAGUUUUGGUAUAACAGUGUCUCUCUGGAUUGACCUUGGAGUCGGGUUGUUUGGGAAUGCAGCCCUAAGCGGGUGGUAAACUCCAUCCAAGGCUAAAUACAAGCACGAGUCCGAUAGCGAACAAGUACCGUGAGGGAAAGUUGAAAAGUACUUUGAAGAGAGAGUAAACAGUGCGUGAAACCGCUUAGAGGUAAACGGGUGGAGUUGAACUGCAAUCUCUGAGAAUUCAGCUGGGGAAUUUUGCUUGAGCUUGGUCAAAUGGGCAGGGCCCCGGGGUAUGCUUAUUUGCAUGUUCUGACCUUCGGGUUGGGAUGCGCGUUGCUCUUAUCAAGGGCUGCGCGCCUCGGGUGUCCGGCUGGCUCUAUCGCCAGUGCACUUUCUCGGAGUGAUCACCACGACCGGCGCUGCUGCUUGGCUGUUAUUGUUAACCCGAACAUUCAUCGUCCUUGUGGCGUUGGGUGGUCGACACGGCAGGUAACUGGGGGCUUGCUUCGGCUUGCUUCUCGGUGUAUGUCGGCUUUAACGGUUCUAUGCGGUGUGUCGGAGACGGCGGCUAGUUGUGUGUGCAUGCGUAUCUAUCUGUUGGCAUAUUCUGGUUUGGUGGCUGUGUGCUUGUUCAAGCAGGCCCAGUGAUGGCCGGGGUGUGUCAGUGGGUGGUUGUGUGUGUGGCACUUUUCAGGGCCAACA